This is a non-coding RNA of Mycena belliarum, 91 nucleotides long. Lineage: Eukaryota; Fungi; Basidiomycota; Agaricomycetes; Agaricales; Mycenaceae. The record is from the annotation of a GenBank genome assembly.
UGCCCCAUGGCCCAGUUGGCUAAGGCGCACGACUGUUACAUUCAGUGUUGAUGUCAUCGUGAGAUCGAGAGUUCGAGCCUCUCUGGGGCAG